UUCAACGGCCGCGGUAUUCUAACCGUGCAAAGGUAGCGUAANCACUUGUCCACUAAAUAUGGACCAGUAUGAACGGCUAAAUGAGGGCUAGCCUGUCUCCUUUGCCUAAUCAGUGAAACUGAUCUUUCAGUCCAAAAGCUGAAAUAUUAACAUAAGACGAGAAGACCCUGUGGAGCUUUAAAUUUAUAUCAACAGUACCAACUCAGUCAACUGUAUGAUUAAAAAUUUUAAGUUGGGGCAACUUCGGAACAAAGCCAAACUUCCGAGAACAAAGACAAUCCAUCUUACUAAGGCCUACAAGCCAAAGCAAAAUUGACCCAGUACCACUGAUAAACGAACCAAGUUACCCCAGGGAUAACAGCGCCAUCUUCUUCAAGAGUUCAUAUCGACAAGAAGGCUUACGACCUCGAUGUUGGAUCAGGACACCCAAACGGUGCAGCCGCUGUUAAAGGUUG
RNAcentral lists this ribosomal RNA (455 nucleotides) under Pristidactylus torquatus. RNAcentral describes it as "partial 16S ribosomal RNA". It matches the Rfam family "Bacterial large subunit ribosomal RNA", at positions 1923 to 2574 of the family's 2925-position model. The record is from RNAcentral. Lineage: Eukaryota; Metazoa; Chordata; Lepidosauria; Squamata; Leiosauridae.